Molecule: ribosomal RNA, 651 nt
Filed under: Escherichia coli
Lineage: Bacteria; Pseudomonadati; Pseudomonadota; Gammaproteobacteria; Enterobacterales; Enterobacteriaceae
Description: partial 23S ribosomal RNA
Rfam family: Bacterial large subunit ribosomal RNA
Source: RNAcentral
AUAAUGGGUCAGCGACUUAUAUUCUGUAGCAAGGUUAACCGAAUAGGGGAGCCGAAGGGAAACCGAGUCUUAACUGGGCGUUAAGUUGCAGGGUAUAGACCCGAAACCCGGUGAUCUAGCCAUGGGCAGGUUGAAGGUUGGGUAACACUAACUGGAGGACCGAACCGACUAAUGUUGAAAAAUUAGCGGAUGACUUGUGGCUGGGGGUGAAAGGCCAAUCAAACCGGGAGAUAGCUGGUUCUCCCCGAAAGCUAUUUAGGUAGCGCCUCGUGAAUUCAUCUCCGGGGGUAGAGCACUGUUUCGGCAAGGGGGUCAUCCCGACUUACCAACCCGAUGCAAACUGCGAAUACCGGAGAAUGUUAUCACGGGAGACACACGGCGGGUGCUAACGUCCGUCGUGAAGAGGGAAACAACCCAGACCGCCAGCUAAGGUCCCAAAGUCAUGGUUAAGUGGGAAACGAUGUGGGAAGGCCCAGACAGCCAGGAUGUUGGCUUAGAAGCAGCCAUCAUUUAAAGAAAGCGUAAUAGCUCACUGGUCGAGUCGGCCUGCGCGGAAGAUGUAACGGGGCUAAACCAUGCACCGAAGCUGCGGCAGCGACGCUGAUGCGUUGUUGGGUAGGGGAGCGUUCUGUAAGCCUGUGAAGGUGUGCU